UGACUUAUUCCUUCUUGUUUGAUGAACUAAAAAUAUCUCUUCCUCUAUUUCCUUAGCCAUGGGCAUGUCCAUGACCAAGUCUAUGAUUAUUUUUCAUUACCAAAAUUUUCUUCAUUCUCUUUUAAAGUAACUUUUUUUUAAGAACUUAUAUAAUUUUCUUGGUUAUUUAUUUUUAAUCUCUCUUUAUGGCUUCAGUGAUCCCCAUAAGUUGAUUGAUAGUUAUAGAAUCUAAAUCUUUAGUCUCUUCAAUGACCAAAUCAAACUUUGAAUCUAAAGACCAAAAUAUGCUUUAAUCACACGAGUGUCAUUCAAACUUUCACCAUUUCUUUUUAAUAGAUUAACAAUAACUAAUACUCUUGAAAAUUGAUUGGAGAUUGAUUCUUUUUUAAACUUGAACCCAAAGAUUUUUUUUUUCUUCAAACGGGUUGAAAAUAAGGACUAUGCAAAAAUAAUUAGUAACUAUUUCGAGUUUGAAUCUAAAGAUUGAAAUAUUUUUCUAAUCAACUGAGUGUCUUUCAAACUUUCACCUUGUCUUUUUAAUAGAUUCACAAUCACUAAUACUCGUGAAAAUUGAUUGGAGAUUGAUUUUUUUUUUUUUUUGCCUUCAAAUGGGCUGAAAAUAAGUACUAUGCAAAAAUAAUUAGUGACUAUUUUGAGGAAUCAGGCCUGCCAUUAAUGUCAGUAUUUUUGUCUCUAGAGUAGGAUCUGCGGCUCAAAUUAAAGCCAUGAAACAAGUAGCUGGAAAAUCAAAAUUGGAACUGGCGCAAUUCGCAGAAUUAGAAGCCUUUGCACAAUUCGCUUCUGAUCUUGAUAAAGCUACUCAUAGUCAAUUGGAGAAAAUUUAUCUGAGAGACCAGCAUACAGAAUUAUCUCCAAGUAGCCUUUGCCUUGGGAUUAGAACUUUCAGUUGAUAGAUGGAAAUGGACGGUUCAUGAAGGUAUGCUGUCUAAAUAUCAGGGAUUCUAUUAAGGUAUCUAGUUGAAUUCGCUCCUUUGCCACUGGUGCUGAGAUCUCACAAGCUUGCAUUUUACAGGCAGAUCUCUGAAUUGAGAAAGAUAUGAUUUGUUAAGACAUUUAAUAGUAACCAUGCCAAGUGUAAUUGAUUUGCUUAACUUUCUCAUUCUUACUAUAUGGUUUCAAUUUUUUUAUUUUUUUUUAUUUUUUUUAACUUGGUUCAGAGCUUGCAUUGUGUUAUUUUAUAUUAAUGGAUUCUUGUCUAGGGUUUUUACUCUUUUGAAUCA
Vitis riparia (riverbank grape) is the source of this 1241-nucleotide long non-coding RNA. RefSeq lists it as uncharacterized. The transcript has 3 exons. The record is from RefSeq and is a predicted model, not a curated record. Lineage: Eukaryota; Viridiplantae; Streptophyta; Magnoliopsida; Vitales; Vitaceae.